GGAGAGAUGACCGAGAGGCUGAAGGUGCACGCCUGGAAAGCGUGUGUGCCCGAAAGGGUACCGAGGGUUCGAAUCCCUCUCUCUCCGCCA
RNAcentral lists this transfer RNA (90 nucleotides) under Desulfobacteraceae bacterium. RNAcentral's name for it is "tRNA-Ser". It matches the Rfam family "tRNA". Rfam says of the family: Transfer RNA (tRNA) molecules are approximately 80 nucleotides in length. The record is from RNAcentral. Lineage: Bacteria; Pseudomonadati; Thermodesulfobacteriota; Desulfobacteria; Desulfobacterales; Desulfobacteraceae.